Molecule: ribosomal RNA, 253 nt
Filed under: uncultured bacterium
Lineage: Bacteria
Description: partial 16S ribosomal RNA
Rfam family: Bacterial small subunit ribosomal RNA
Source: RNAcentral
UACGUAGGUGGCAAGCGUUGUCCGGAUUUAUUGGGCUUAAAGGGCGCGUAGGCGGUCUUAUAAGUCCGUGGUGAAAUAUCCCGGCUUAACCGGGAGGGUGGCAUUGAUACUGUAGGACUUGAGUAAAGUUGAGGUUGGCGGAAUUGACGGUGUAGCGGUGAAAUGCUUAGAUAUCGUCAAGAACACCGAUAGUGUAGACAGCUAACUAAGCUUUAACUGACGCUGAGGCACGAAAGUGUGGGGAUCAAACAGG